Molecule: ribosomal RNA, 460 nt
Filed under: uncultured bacterium
Lineage: Bacteria
Description: partial 16S ribosomal RNA
Rfam family: Bacterial small subunit ribosomal RNA
Source: RNAcentral
CCUACGGGUGACAGCAGUGAGGAAUAUUGGUCAAUGGGCGCAAGCCUGAACCAGCCAAGUCGCGUGAGGGAUGACGGUCCUAUGGAUUGUAAACCUCUUUUGUCGGGGAGCAAGGCCCGCCACGUGUGGCGGGAAGGAGAGUACCCGAAGAAAAAGCAUCGGCUAACUCCGUGCCAGCAGCCGCGGUAAUACGGAGGAGGCGAGCGUUAUCCGGAUUUAUUGGGUUUAAAGGGUGCGUAGCCGGAAGGUUAAGCCAGCGGUAAAAUGUCGGUGCUCAACACCGGCCUGCCGUUGAAACUGGUCUUCUUGAGUGAGCGAGAAGUAUGCGGAAUGCGUGGUGUAGCGGUGAAAUGCAUAGAUAUCACGCAGAACUCCGAUUGCGAAGGCAGCAUACCGGCGCUCAACUGACGCUGAGGCACGAAAGCGUGGGGAUCGAACAGGAUUAGAUACCCCGGUAGUC